This 606-nucleotide ribosomal RNA is filed under the name Triticum aestivum (bread wheat). RNAcentral describes it as "partial small subunit ribosomal RNA". Lineage: Eukaryota; Viridiplantae; Streptophyta; Magnoliopsida; Poales; Poaceae. The record is from RNAcentral.
AUGUGUCUUCUUGCUCCAGCAUUCAAGUUCCAUUUCAAGGGAGGACGACGUACCAUGAUACUUUAUGUUUUGUCGAGCCCUGCUUUGGUAUCUGGUUUGAUGGUUGUAUGUGCUAAAAAUCCGGUACAUUCCGUUUUGUUUCCCAUCCUAGUCUUUUGCGACACUUCUGGUUUACUUAUUUUGUUAGGUCUCGACUUCUCCGCUAUGAUCUCCCGAGUAGUUCAUAUAGGAUCUAUUGCUGUUUCAUUCCUAUUCGUGGUUAUGAUGUUCAAUAUUCAAAUAGCGGAGAUUCACGAAGAAGUAUUGCGCUAUUUACCAGUGAGUGGUAUUAUUGGACUGAUCUUUUGGUGGGAAAUGUUCUUCAUUUUAGAUAAUGAAACCAUUCCAUUACUACCAACCCACAGAAAUACGACCUCUCAGAGAUAUACGGUUUAUGCCGGAAAGGUACGAAGUUGGACUAAUUUGGAAACAUUGGGCAAUUUUCUUUAUACCUACUAUUCCGUCUGGUUUUUUGUUUCUAGUCUGAUUUUAUUAGUAGCUAUGAUUGGGGCUAUAGUACUUAAUAUGCAUAGGACUAGAAAGGUGAAAAGACAGGAUGUACUCUGA